This 89-nucleotide unclassified non-coding RNA is filed under the name Pseudomonas gessardii. Lineage: Bacteria; Pseudomonadati; Pseudomonadota; Gammaproteobacteria; Pseudomonadales; Pseudomonadaceae. The record is from RNAcentral.
UGUGGGAGCGGGCUUGCUCGCGAAAGCGGUGUGUCAGUCAAUUAUUCAUCAACUGACCCUGUGCAUUCGCGAGCAAGCCCGCUCCCACA